GCCUUUGUAGCUCAGUUGGUUAAAGCGCUGCACCGGAAUCGCAGGGCCGUAGGUUCAAUUCCUACCAGAGGAC
Molecule: transfer RNA, 73 nt
Filed under: Paramuricea clavata
Lineage: Eukaryota; Metazoa; Cnidaria; Anthozoa; Malacalcyonacea; Plexauridae
Rfam family: tRNA
About the family: Transfer RNA (tRNA) molecules are approximately 80 nucleotides in length. Their secondary structure includes four short double-helical elements and three loops (D, anti-codon, and T loops).
Source: Rfam by way of RNAcentral